AACUGACUUCUAGCCAAUGCUCCUGCCCCAUAACCACAGUGUAGAGCAAUAACUUCUUCACCAAAUGCAUAUUUUAUACCAGAGCAAUAACUUCUUCACCAAAUGCAUAUUUUAUCCAAUGCUCCGGGCCGCGCGCGCCUCCUCCGGCUGGGAUCCCGGCGGCUGCUGCUGCGUCCAACACGGCCUCCUCCCCGGCCGGGAUCUAGUCGAAAUGACCAUUCAAGUCGACAUCGACUUUGAGACUUAUAGACUAGUCACACGACUAGUCUUAGACUCAUAAUCGGAGGAUGUACAUGAAGUUUUUUGCAGAGAGAAGAAAAAUGGAUAUUUCGCAGCCUUUGGCUUGCACGAGUUUCAUGGCAAGCCUGGACAUAGAUGCCUCGUCAUAGCAAAAUUCCUUUCUUCGAAAAGGCAGAUCCAUAUCAAAUUUGACGGAUCUACAAAAAAUCUCAUGCUUUCAAGUUUGUGGCCGCGCAAACUGUACAAUGGAGUACCGAAAUUUAUCUCAUCUAAACCGAGAGCAAGCAAGAUCACGGCAUAACUGGAAUUGUCGAACCAGCAGCACCAACUAUAGUUCGACUUCACUCUCCGUUUCACGAACAGAUAAAUCAAGAGAUUUUGGGCCAAAAUAAAACAUGCACGUAAUAUUAAGUUAUCUUCGUUGUGAGAUUUUGGACCAAAAUAAA
Brachypodium distachyon (stiff brome) is the source of this 686-nucleotide long non-coding RNA. RefSeq lists it as uncharacterized. The record is from RefSeq and is a predicted model, not a curated record. The transcript has 2 exons. NCBI's taxonomy places the organism in Eukaryota, Viridiplantae, Streptophyta, Magnoliopsida, Poales, Poaceae.